Non-coding RNA from Phalacrocorax carbo (great cormorant), 471 nucleotides. NCBI's taxonomy places the organism in Eukaryota, Metazoa, Chordata, Aves, Suliformes, Phalacrocoracidae. The record is from RefSeq and is a predicted model, not a curated record.
CCUGUAAUCAGGGUCCCGGUCUGGGAGCCUUUGUGCUCCGCUGGCAGCCUGCGUGGGGUGACCGCCCCGUUAGCGGGGUGUGGGUCAGGGUGCCCCUGAAUCGGAGAGAAGGAGCCUCCGUGGGCCUUUGGGACCAGGGCCGCCCUGUAAGCCGGGGCCCGGCCAGUGCCCUGGAGUCCCGGGCGCUUUGCUGUCCAGGCAGCGGCUCGAGCCCCCUGUAAGCAGGGGCGCAGCCUCUUUGGCCGCCGCCUUGCGUGCCCAGCUUGCUUUGCCCGGGGUGCCCGCCUCCGAGCCCGGCUCCAGCACCGGCCGGAGCUCUGCUGUGCACGGCUCAGCAUCUCCACAGAGGAGGAAGCAGUUCGACCCCAGUAUCUAGACAAUCUUUGUAAUCUGUGUCCUGAUUCAUGUCUCUGAUGUCCCUUUUUCAUGCUCUUCAAUGUUCUGAUUUGUCAAUAAAAGGCUUUUUCCAUC